Long non-coding RNA from Nicotiana attenuata, 1648 nucleotides. RefSeq lists it as uncharacterized. The record is from RefSeq and is a predicted model, not a curated record. NCBI's taxonomy places the organism in Eukaryota, Viridiplantae, Streptophyta, Magnoliopsida, Solanales, Solanaceae. The transcript is spliced from 2 exons.
UUCUACUUACCUUCUUUUCCACGUGUUUCCUUGUUGUUCUUGCUUGGGUCAUUUAGCUACUACACUAAUAGUCUGGUAGAAACCAUUUGCUUAAUUGGUAACUUGCUCAUGAUUUUGUGAUCUUCUAGUUCUUUUUAGCUAGGUUUGUUAGUUAUCGAUUUGUUUGGUCUUAGCAUGUUAACUCAAAAAGGAUUUAACAGUAAUUAAUUUUGUGCUUAUUAAUUAGAUUAGCAACUAUUAAUUUUCAAUCUUCUUUUACUUUCAUUUUUCAAUUGUUUGAUUGAUUGCCUAAGCUUUGUUUUAUUUAAGUCAUUAUGUCCAUGCCUUGUUUGUUUAUUGAUUGAAGUGAUUAUUUAUUUUCUGAGAUUGGUUGGUCUUAAUCUGUAUUAGCAAUUGAUUUAAGUGUGAAAAUUUCAGAAAUUUUAAGGGAGAAUUUAGAAAAUGUUUAAAUGGAGGAUUGGUUAUUAACAGGAACCUAAAGGGGGUUAAUUGGAAAAGUUUAGGGAAUCUGUUUGUUUGCUGGUUUAGGAAGCUUAUAAGAAAAUAUAGAGAGGACUGAUUUACAAUAAAAAGAAAGGUUGGGGUAAGGAUGUAAAAAUAGAAAGCAUAAAGGGAUGGAAAAUAAGAAGAAGCUUCUAGAUGAUGGACAACUAUCCAAAUUUGUUAAGGAAAAGAUGCUGAAAAUUAGAUAAACAUCUGGAAUAAAGGACAGUUGUACAAAAAAUUGGUUAAAAGAUGCUUUUGUUCCCUUUUUUACACCUGACAUAUUCUCUUUGAUAUUUCCUCAUUUUUUUCUAUAUAGAGAGACACUCACUCACACAUAAAGGGCGAUACUUUUCCCUUUCACUCUCCGAUCCUCCCCUGAAAGCAAAAGUUUAGAACAAAUUCUGUGAGUCAAAUUGAAUUCCAUAUCUGGAAAACUAAAGAAAAUUCAAGAGUUAUUUUUCUAAGAUUUUGUCGUUUCUCUUCACUGAUUUCUGAUUUUCUCAAGUUAAUUCUGGCCUAAAAUUGAGGCUUUCUUCUAGGACUUACUGAUGUUAGUUGCUGUGUGUUGAUUUUUCAUCAAGCUGUGGUGGAAUCUUUUGUCUAGCUGUUUCUCAAAUUCAGAGAUUUAUUUUCUUCUUCUUUUGUUGCUGCUAAGUGUAGGGUGUGUUGAUACUACUGUCUAAGACAUGGUCGAGAUUCAUUUAAGCAGUAAGAAUAUGCUGGAAACAAUAUGUUUCUUCAUUUGAAUGUUGGCUCAUAAAAAUUAAUGGUAUAAUCUUGAUUUGAUAUUAGCAUGUGGAAACAAAGGCUAGUCAGUCAUUGGAUUUGAUCACCGGUUGAUCAAAUCCAUUACUGGAUAAAGUUUGAGCCAAAUCAUGCAGUAAUGAAGUGCUGGUGAUUCAGGUUGAUUAAAUCAACAAGCCAAGGCGAGGCAGGAAUGGGAGCAUAACUUUCACGUUAAUGAGACUGUGGGAUGUAGUUUUAUAGCAGUUCAUCAAGUGCAGUAAAUUCAAUCAGUUAGGAUUAUGUAAUUUUGUUCUUAUUAUAGUUGUAAUCUAAUUGAUAGGCCAUUUAGUUGUAAUCUCAGCUUUCCUUUAUAUGAGUAAUUCAUCUUUUAAUUCCUGAAUACUUAUUUGAUAAAAAAUGGUUCAAAUUAGUAUUA